AUAUUGGACAAUGGGCGCAAGCCUGAUCCAGCCAUGCCGCGUGCGUGAAGAAGGCCUUAGGGUUGUAAAGCGCUUUCACUGGUGAAGAUGAUGACGGUAGCCAGAGAAGAAGCCCCGGCUAACUCCGUGCCAGCAGCCGCGGUAAUACGGAGGGGGCAAGCGUUGUUCGGAAUUACUGGGCGUAAAGGGCGCGUAGGCGGAACAUCAAGUUAGGGGUGAAAGGCCUGGGCUCAACCUGGGAACGGCCUCUAAAACUGAUGAUCUGGAGUCCGGAAGAGGAUGGCGGAAUUCCCAGUGUAGAGGUGAAAUUCGUAGAUAUUGGGAAGAACACCGGUGGCGAAGGCGGCCAUCUGGUCCGGCACUGACGCUGAGGCGCGAAAGCGUGGGGAGCAAACAGG
This 398-nucleotide ribosomal RNA is filed under the name uncultured bacterium. Its description in RNAcentral is "bacterial SSU rRNA". It matches the Rfam family "Bacterial small subunit ribosomal RNA", at positions 361 to 776 of the family's 1533-position model. The record is from RNAcentral.